Molecule: transfer RNA, 73 nt
Filed under: Caldisericum exile
Lineage: Bacteria; Pseudomonadati; Caldisericota; Caldisericia; Caldisericales; Caldisericaceae
Also listed under: 2 other names
Description: tRNA-Val
Rfam family: tRNA
About the family: Transfer RNA (tRNA) molecules are approximately 80 nucleotides in length. Their secondary structure includes four short double-helical elements and three loops (D, anti-codon, and T loops).
Source: RNAcentral
GGGCGGUUGGCUCAGAGGUUAGAGCACCUGCCUUACAAGCAGGGGGUCAGAGGUUCGAAUCCUCUACCGCCCA